RNAcentral lists this unclassified non-coding RNA (406 nucleotides) under soil metagenome. RNAcentral describes it as "partial contains 5.8S ribosomal RNA, internal transcribed spacer 2, and large subunit ribosomal RNA". The stretch from base 1 to 121 matches the Rfam family "5.8S ribosomal RNA", at positions 35 to 154 of the family's 154-position model. The record is from RNAcentral.
GAUGAAGAACGUAGCGAAAUGCGAUAAGUAGUGUGAAUUGCAGAAUUCAGUGAAUCAUCGAAUCCUUGAACGCACCUUGCGCCCUUUGGCCAUUCCGAAGGGCAUGCCUGUUUGAGUAUCAUGAACACCUCAACUCUUCAUGGUUUUCCGUGAUGAGCUUGGACUUUGGGGGUCUUGCUGGCCUAUGGUCAGCUCCUCUAAAAUAAAUCAGCUUGCCAGUGUUUGGUGGGUAUCACAGGUGUGAUAACUAUCUACGCUUGUGGUUUUCCACCAGGUAACCUUCAGCAGUGGAGGUUCACUGGAGCUCACAGAUGUGUCUCUCCUCAGUGAGGACAGCUCUUUGAAUGUUUGAUCUCAAAUCAGGUAGGACUACCCGCUGAACUUAAGCAUAUCAAUAAGCGGAGGA